GAUACCAAGAUAUUGACAUUUAUUCAUUUUGUUAGCCAUGGCCGCCAUUUUUAAAGAUGGCAUCCAAUCACCAAAAUUAGAAAUGUGACCUCCCAGCUAACUUUCAUCCUGAGCAUCCGGAGUGGGUACACGUGUGCCCCCAGCACACGUGUGCCCCUUGUACUUACCAGAAGCAGCAGAGGCAGAGGCAGUGGCAGCGGUGGUGAAUCCUCAAAAGGUAAGUGGGGCAGGGAAGCUGGCACAGCUGUAGAGGAUCCGUAGGGGAACCCCCCCAGAUCCCUCUUAACUGAGCUAGCAAGGAGCUGCACUCCUGAGCCAUGCGCAAAUACAGCAUGCAAACUGGCACAUUCUGUGCAGUGCAGGUGGGCAGUCAGCUAGGGAGGGACUUCCCCCUGUGUGAGGUGGCACUGCCUGGAGGCUGAUCCCUGGGGCAGCAGCUUCAGCCACCUCAGGAACUGGACCUUUCCCUGUCUGAGGGAGACACAGGGGGCGGGGCUGUGGCAGGUUGUGUGGCGGUCCAGUAGGGGGUGCUCCUGUGUUGAGCCACCCACCUCACUGCACCUGACCACUUUCCAGGCUCUGAGUGUCUCCCUGAGGGCACCGCACGUCUGUCUGACUCCCUUCCUGGAGCAAACCUGCUAGCCUGGGGGUAACACUGCCACCACCCAGGGAUGGCCUUGGUUCUGGCUCUGUGCACCCUGGGAAACACAGGCCUAGUAGCCCUCAAGGGUACUUGAUUCACUUCAAGAACUUGGGAUGCUUCCCUCUGUCGGAAGCACCAGUAGUGGUUUCCCUUAGUCAGCUGAAGCAAGGGGACCCCAAGGCAUAAUCUAGACCCACACCCAAUAAGUUUCCCACACUAGGUACAAAGGAGAACUUUCUUGGUUACAAGGGGUAGGGUUGGAAUAGGGUACAGGGUAGAGCAAUAUCAGAGAAAUCCCAUAGAGCAAAUUGUCAUGGCUGGGUAGCCUUUGAUCACACAUCUGAGUUACUGCAAGCUAUAUAUCUAGUUAGAUCUCAGGUAGCUUACUCACAAGUAUCAUCCAGAGGCAGGUGGAGACUCCCUCUGGAGGCAGGCAGUUCCUUGAUCACGAGUUUUGAGAGAGAGAGCAAGUUUCAGAUGGUCCAGCUCUUCUCAUUCUCUGAGUCUUCCUUAUGGCUCAUGCCCCCUCCUCCUGGGCAGUCCUUAACUUAUAUAGCCAUUAUGACCUCAUUUACCUGGUCCAAUGGAGGCCAGCACCUGUUGGCUAUCAGCCAACCAAUUUGAAAUGCAUCACUAGUUGCUGGGCAGACUGGCAGUUCCUAGCUCCCCAGGGAGCCCAAACCCCUCACCCAGGUAUGCGAUGCCAGUCAUGUAGGCAGAGGGAGCAGGUUUCCCCACUCCCUCAGGAAUGUAUGCAGCUCAGGUUACCUAAAGAGCUAGGGUAAGUUGUGUAUCCUCUGCAGGUUCCAUCUGAACAAAAUUGUCACAGAGCAGAGUUUUUGGGGAGAAACAGAGGUGGCCUUCUGCCUCAGGGUGUUCCAGGGAAGCCGGGAGCGGCCUGAUUGGCUGAGCCAGGCCACAGCAGAGUGAUUGACUGCUGGGCCGGUGUGAGUAAUUCAAACCAUGGCCUUUAAAAGCCAUGGUUUGAUAAAGCCUCUGGCAGUUGGGGCUUGAGUCCGGAGUGGGCGGACGUGUGCCCCCUGUACUGACCAGCAGCAGUAGAGGCAGAGGCAGCGGCAGCAGAUCCUCUAAGGGUAAGUGGGGCAGGGAAGCCAGCACAACUAUAGAGGAUCCAGAAGGAAAGCCCCCCAGAUCCCUCUUAACUGAGCCGCCAGGGAGCCACACUCCUGAUCCACAUGCGAACAGAGUGCACAAACAGUCACGCUCUGUAAGAGUGCCAGUGUUUGCUCAAGGCGGGUGUGCAGCAGGAGCCAGGAAGGAGUCUCCAGCAAGACAGAGAUGAAGACUCACAGCUCCAUGGACAUGGUAAGAACAUGGGGAGUGGCUGCUAGGGACUGCACCCCGGUGGUAGGGACAUGGAGGGCAGCCACUGGGGACUCUGCCCUGGUGGUGCUACCUACCCUGGGUUCCUCUGAGGCCUCCACUGAGAUGGAGCCGAUGGUGGGGUCAGUGGGGUCUUCUCUUACAGGCUGGCUGAUCUCAUAUGGUGUGCUUUAGACUAGCUUCACCGGGGGAUGGGGCCACAGGGGGACACGAGGACACUUCCCAGCCAAGACAGGUGAUGAGCACAAGAAGUACCCAGAGACUGGGACAUCCCACCAACUUGAAUUCCGGACGGACUCAGGAGAGGUACAGCCAGGUCUAGGGUCAGAGAGGACCUAGUUAGGAAACUUCUGUUGGGGCUGGAUGUGUUCAAAUCAGCAGGUCCACAUGAUUUCCACCACAGGGUACUGAGGGAAUUGGCAGAGGUCAUUGAGGAACCCCUGGCAUGGCUUUACGAGCACUCAUGAUGCUCUGGCCAGGUGCCAGAGGACUGGAAAAGGGCCAAUGUGGUCCCCAUUUUCAAAAAGGGGAGGAAGGAGGACCUGGGAAACUAUAGGGAUGUUAGUCUUACCUUGGUCCUGGGGAAGCUCUUUGAGAAAAUUAUCCAGGGGCACAUCUGUGAGGGACCAACAGGGGAGGUUAUGCUUAGGGGCAACCAACAUGGGUUCAUUAGGGGCAGGUCCUGUCAGACUAACCUGGUUGCCUUCUAUGACCAGGUCAAAAAAUCCUUAGAUGUAGGUGUUGCAGUGGAUGUAGUCUUUCCGGACUUUAGGAAGGCCUUUGACACUGUCUCUCACCCCAUUCUCAUUAAAAAAUUAGGUGACUGUGGCAUCGAUGCCUGCAUAGUCAGAUGGAUUGCUAAUUGGCUGGAGGGCUGCAUCCAGAGAGUGGUGGUGGACAGAAACAACAGCCACAAGUUGACUGAGAAGACCCUGAGGGAUGGCAGACAAAAGACAGAGGAAGCAGGAGCAGAACAUGGGAAGCAGCAGCGGAGCUCAGAUGCACCAGGAGCGGGGGAACGAGUGGCGAGAGACUCCAGAUGAGUGACAAAAGCCAGGACUGUUGGACAGGACAUGGGCAUGUUGACAGCAAUUGAGUACUCUCAGGGCUAGAGGCUGGUUUGGGACACCUCUGAAGUAGUGGGUGAGUACAAGGUUCAUGGAGUGUCUGUACUUCAGAACUACUGUGUGUUAUGAGUUACUUGUUCUUGAGUGAAUACAUCACAUUGUUACUGUUUAUUAUGUUAUUCAGCUUCUAAGUGUAUGUAAUUUAAUGUUAGUGUGUACCUUAGUGUUUACCUACUUGUAUUUAUUUUUCCCUAGCCUGUUGGUUUGUGACUGUAACCCGAGCCAUUUUCCAUAUAAAAUUGGGAACCUUG
Molecule: long non-coding RNA, 3365 nt
Organism: Alligator mississippiensis (American alligator)
Lineage: Eukaryota; Metazoa; Chordata; Crocodylia; Alligatoridae
Exons: 3
Source: RefSeq, a predicted model, not a curated record